Molecule: ribosomal RNA, 228 nt
Filed under: Triticum aestivum (bread wheat)
Lineage: Eukaryota; Viridiplantae; Streptophyta; Magnoliopsida; Poales; Poaceae
Description: partial small subunit ribosomal RNA
Source: RNAcentral
AUGAAUAUACUCGCUUGGAACUGCGCGGGGGGGGGGAGGGGGAACUGCCGGACAGUUCGAGAGGUGUUGGUCCUCACUAAAGCCAAUGACCCCAAACUAGUCUUCUUAAGUGAGACUAGACAGGAUGUUGUUAAGAUGGAGAAACUAAAGUGGAGACUAGGCCUAAAAGGAUUUCAUGGAGUUAGUAGUAAUGGAAGGAGUGGAGGCUUAGCUCUUUUUUGGGAUGAA